CUCACCUUUCACAAUGGUUUCUGUGAAGAUUAGUCAUAAUGUAUGUACAGCGGCUGGCACACAACAAAUGGUGGUUAUAAUUAUCCAUAUCUAAAAAAGAGGGAAGGAAACCAUGAAUAUACCUUUAUAUAACUUCCCACCCGUUUGCCCUCAGAAAGACAUUUCAAGUGGUCUGGAAUCUAGUAUCGGUGGAGGGAUUUCUUACAACUGGACUAUUUGAAGAGGAUUCUUUCAUGAAGAGUGGGCAAAGUGGAAAACAGGGAAAUUUGGACGCAGAUGCACACAGAGGAAAGAUCGUCUGAAGACACAGGGAGA
This 315-nucleotide long non-coding RNA is filed under the name Equus caballus (horse). Its description in RNAcentral is "lncRNA (ENSECAG00000043103.2)". The record is from RNAcentral. Lineage: Eukaryota; Metazoa; Chordata; Mammalia; Perissodactyla; Equidae.